UACGUAGGGUGCAAGCGUUAAUCGGAAUUACUGGGCGUAAAGCGUGCGCAGGCGGUUCUAUAAGUCAGAUGUGAAAUCCCCGGGCUCAACCUGGGAACUGCAUUUGUGACUGUAGAGCUGGAGUGCGGCAGAGGGGGAUGGAAUUCCGCGUGUAGCAGUGAAAUGCGUAGAUAUCUGGAGGAACACCGGUGGCGAAGGCGGCAUCCUGGACCAAUUCUGACGCUGAGGAGCGAAAGCCAGGGGAGCAAACGGG
This 253-nucleotide ribosomal RNA is filed under the name uncultured bacterium. RNAcentral describes it as "partial 16S ribosomal RNA". It matches the Rfam family "Bacterial small subunit ribosomal RNA", at positions 524 to 776 of the family's 1533-position model. The record is from RNAcentral.